This is a long non-coding RNA of Drosophila persimilis, 677 nucleotides long. RefSeq lists it as uncharacterized. NCBI's taxonomy places the organism in Eukaryota, Metazoa, Arthropoda, Insecta, Diptera, Drosophilidae. The transcript is spliced from 4 exons. The record is from RefSeq and is a predicted model, not a curated record.
UGCUGCUGCGUCUGCUGCUGAGUCUGCUGCUGGGUAUGCUGCUGCGUCGCUGGAUCGGGAUCCCCCUCGUAAUCUGGCAGGAUUAUCCUUUGGACAGAAAGUGGCUGGCCAAAGAUAAGAGCCACUAUUCUUUCUCGGGGAGUUUGGCCGCUGAGCUCCUCCUCUUCAAUACGGACCAGCGUUGGAAGCGAUUCCUCGGAGAUGGCCGGAUCUGGAUGUUGUUGUUGAUGGCUGCUCCGAUCCUGAUUUCGAGGUUACAGCGGGCGGAAGUGUUGAAGCAGCUGUUGCAGAUAUCGUGGCCUCUGCAAUCGCUGUGGCUCAUACGGCUGCAGUAAUAGUUUCCGAGCCUCCGGAUUGACAUGGCAAGCCAAGGAGUUGCGAAGCGCCCACUUGCCGCAUGGAACACUUCGUCGAUUGUGUCUAGAUUGCUUUGCACCCGUCGCAGCUGGGAAUCGGAUGUAAGUGCGCCCCAAACCGGAAGACCAUAUUGCCAAAUGGGCAUGAUGAGCUGCUUGAUGACUAUAGCCUUGGUUUCGCUUGGCAGCCGGCUUUUUGGGCCAGCAAGCCAGUCCAGUUUGGCCGCUCUUGAUCGGAGUUUUGUGCAGAUCCUCGUGAUGUGUGAGCUUAGGGUGAUUUGGACAGCUCCAAUGCAUCCACAAUCUGCAUCAGCUCAGGCA